GUGAGGAAUAUUGGUCAAUGGGCGCAAGCCUGAACCAGCCAUGCCGCGUGCAGGAAGACGGUCCUAUGGAUUGUAAACUGCUUUUAUUUGGGAAUAAACCUCCUUACGUGUAGGGAGCUGAAGGUACCAAAUGAAUAAGCACCGGCUAACUCCGUGCCAGCAGCCGCGGUAAUACGGAGGGUGCAAGCGUUAUCCGGAAUCAUUGGGUGUAAAGGGUCCGCAGGCGGUCAUAUAAGUCAGUAGUGAAAGCCUACAGCUCAACUGUAGAACUGCCAUGGAUACUGUAUGACUUGAAUUCGAUCGAAGUGGGCGGAAUGUGACAUGUAGCGGUGAAAUGCUUAGAUAUGUCACAGAACACCGAUAGCGAAGGCAGCUCACUAGGUCUGGAUUGACGCUCAGGGACGAAAGCGUGGGGAGCAAACAGGAUUAGAAACCCGGGUAGUCC
This 445-nucleotide ribosomal RNA is filed under the name uncultured bacterium. RNAcentral describes it as "partial 16S ribosomal RNA". It matches the Rfam family "Bacterial small subunit ribosomal RNA", at positions 354 to 796 of the family's 1533-position model. The record is from RNAcentral.